Molecule: ribosomal RNA, 74 nt
Filed under: Colletotrichum trifolii
Lineage: Eukaryota; Fungi; Ascomycota; Sordariomycetes; Glomerellales; Glomerellaceae
Description: partial 18S ribosomal RNA
Rfam family: Eukaryotic small subunit ribosomal RNA
Source: RNAcentral
CGAAAAAUAAGAAAGAGUGUGAUGCACAAAGUCGUAACAAGGUCUCCGUUGGUGAACCAGCGGAGGGAUCAUUA